Molecule: long non-coding RNA, 355 nt
Organism: Gossypium arboreum
Lineage: Eukaryota; Viridiplantae; Streptophyta; Magnoliopsida; Malvales; Malvaceae
Exons: 2
Source: RefSeq, a predicted model, not a curated record
UCUCUUCAUUUAUCUUCAUAUUCAUCAGCUGAAAAACAGCCAUGGAGGAGGGUUCAAGCUGGUUUUCAUACUUUAGCUUCAUUUUUGUCAAGUCAGCUCGGGGUUGGAGAUCGUCGGAGACAGCAUCACACUAUCGAGCCAUUAUCCAUGGAGUAUUGAUAUGUGUAUGUUAAAUGUUUUCAAAUGAGUGGCAUGUAUAGGGACUUAGUUUUUCUAUGAUGAUUGUUGUUGUGAUUAGCCAAAGGUAUUAGUUUAUAUUGAUUUGUUGUUUAUAGCCAUGAGAUAUGGCUUAUAAUGAUUUUGGCUUGUAAGCCCAUUUAUCCAUGAUAUGUGUUAAUGUCUUGUGAUGUGGUUA